GAUGAACGCUGGCGGCGUGCCUAAUACAUGCAAGUCGAGCGAACGGACGAGAAGCUUGCUUCUCUGAUGUUAGCGGCGGACGGGUGAGUAACACGUGGAUAACCUACCUAUAAGACUGGGAUAACUUCGGGAAACCGGAGCUAAUACCGGAUGAUAUUUUGAACCGCAUGGUUCAAAAGUGAAAGACGGUCUUGCUGUCACUUAUAGAUGGAUCCGCGCUGCAUUAGCUAGUUGGUAAGGUAACGGCUUACCAAGGCAACGAUGCAUAGCCGACCUGAGAGGGUGAUCGGCCGCACUGGAACUGAGACACGGUCCAGACUCCUACGGGAGGCAGCAGUAGGGAAUCUUCCGCAAUGGGCGAAAGCCUGACGGAGCAACGCCGCGUGAGUGAUGAAGGUCUUCGGAUCGUAAAACUCUGUUAUUAGGGAAGAACAUAUGUGUAAGUAACUGUGCACAUCUUGACGGUACCUAAUCAGAAAGCCACGGCUAACUACGUGCCAGCAGCCGCGGUAAUACGUAGGUGGCAAGCGUUAUCCGGAAUUAUUGGGCGUAAAGGCGCGCGUAGCGGUUUUUUAGUCUGAUGUGAAAGCCCACGGCUCAACCGUGGAGGGUCAUUGGAAACUGGAAAACUUGAGUGCAGAAGAGGAAAGUGGAAUUCCAUGUGUAGCGGUGAAAUGCGCAGAGAUAUGGAGGAACACCAGUGGCGAAGGCGACUUUCUGGUCUGUAACUGACGCUGAUGUGCGAAAGCGUGGGGAUCAAACAGGAUUAGAUACUCUGGUAGUCCACGCCGUAAACGAUGAGUGCUAAGUGUUAGGGGGUUUCCGCCCCUUAGUGCUGCAGCUAACGCAUUAAGCACUCCGCCUGGGGAGUACGACCGCAAGGUUGAAACUCAAAGGAAUUGACGGGGACCCGCACAAGCGGUGGAGCAUGUGGUUUAAUUCGAAGCAACGCGAAGAACCUUACCAAAUCUUGACAUCCUUUGACAACUCUAGAGAUAGAGCCUUCCCCUUCGGGGGACAAAGUGACAGGUGGUGCAUGGUUGUCGUCAGCUCGUGUCGUGAGAUGUUGGGUUAAGUCCCGCAACGAGCGCAACCCUUAAGCUUAGUUGCCAUCAUUAAGUUGGGCACUCUAAGUUGACUGCCGGUGACAAACCGGAGGAAGGUGGGGAUGACGUCAAAUCAUCAUGCCCCUUAUGAUUUGGGCUACACACGUGCUACAAUGGACAAUACAAAGGGCAGCGAAACCGCGAGGUCAAGCAAAUCCCAUAAAGUUGUUCUCAGUUCGGAUUGUAGUCUGCAACUCGACUACAUGAAGCUGGAAUCGCUAGUAAUCGUAGAUCAGCAUGCUACGGUGAAUACGUUCCCGGGUCU
Molecule: ribosomal RNA, 1371 nt
Filed under: uncultured bacterium
Lineage: Bacteria
Description: bacterial SSU rRNA
Rfam family: Bacterial small subunit ribosomal RNA
Source: RNAcentral